RNAcentral lists this unclassified non-coding RNA (353 nucleotides) under uncultured fungus. RNAcentral's name for it is "partial contains small subunit ribosomal RNA, internal transcribed spacer 1, and 5.8S ribosomal RNA". The stretch from base 1 to 73 matches the Rfam family "Eukaryotic small subunit ribosomal RNA", at positions 1759 to 1831 of the family's 1831-position model. Lineage: Eukaryota; Fungi. The record is from RNAcentral.
CCAAACUUGGUCAUUUAGAGGAAGUAAAAGUCGUAACAAGGUUUCCGUAGGUGAACCUGCGGAAGGAUCAUUAACGAAUUGGUUGUGGGGGGUUGGGAGAGGGCCUAGGCUCUCUUCCGGCAAUGCCCCAAACAUUGACUCGGGCUGGAUGGUGGAUGAUUGGGGGUUGGUGGUGUGCUUGCGUGUGCAUAUUGUGUACGCAGUGGCGCACGCAUCCGCCGAACGGACCCCCAUCGGAUGCCGACAGCCGAGACAUUCACGCUUGUUGUGUGUGACUGAGUAAGUGGUGGUUUAUUAAAGAGACAACUUUUAACAAUGGAUCUCUUGGCUCUUGCAUCGAUGAAGAACGCAGC